ACGUCUGUGGUGCAACGGUUAGUAUAUGCUCCUGGUAAGAGUGAGAUUUGGGUUCGAACCCCGGAUGACGCA
Molecule: non-coding RNA, 72 nt
Organism: Parelaphostrongylus tenuis
Lineage: Eukaryota; Metazoa; Nematoda; Chromadorea; Rhabditida; Metastrongylidae
Source: the annotation of a GenBank genome assembly